RNAcentral lists this long non-coding RNA (1031 nucleotides) under Homo sapiens (human). Its description in RNAcentral is "HSALNT0231561". The record is from RNAcentral. Lineage: Eukaryota; Metazoa; Chordata; Mammalia; Primates; Hominidae.
AAGAUGUCUUAAAUACCAUGAGAUUUAUAAAUAUUUUUAAUAGUUAAAUUUAACUUCGAAAGUUACCUAAUAUCCAAUGAGGUUUGAGAUUGGAACUUGUUUUUCUUUUUUGCAUUUGAAUGUGCUUCAUUUAGGUUGAUGCAAGCAAGUUAGUGUGGGUGCUUAAUAGCAUAUCAUAAAGGAUUUAACUUAAUUCCACCAUAAUGAAUUAAUUCUCUCAGUGACACUGUUUUCAUUAUAGAUUUAAUGACAUCACCUUGGCCAACAUUCAGGAAUUCAGAACUCUAAGUUACCCUGAACUAUCUAAAAACGAAAAUGGAAAGAUAAUUCUGCUUCAUGUCUGGUGUACUCCAACUGUGGAUAAGGUGCCCUUCAGGGCCUUAAAGGACAGGAACAAAGUAUGGCAGUUUGUCAUCAGAGCUCCAGGAAGCCACGAGGAAACUGAGCUUAGGAACCAAAUUGCUCAAAAUGGGAAAGAAAUGAAGAGAUGUACAGCAGAUGCUCUCAGCCUGGAAGUGUAACCUUCGGGAAGAAGGAACCACCAGUCAUGCUAAUUGGUCUUGAACAAGGCUUGUUUGCGCUGAGAGAUGAGAGAGAGCACCCCAUUUCUUCCUGAUUCAGUUCUGUAGACAUCUUUCUGGGAUUUGCAAUUGAUAAUUAUAGACACAGAGAUACACUUGGCCUAAUUUGCCAGCCUAUUUGGAGUCAUGAGUGUCACCCUGUAUGUCUGGUAUAUGUGCAGAUGGUUUCUGGCGGCUUCAAUAAAAUCAGAAAACACAAAAUCUCUAUUUUUUUUUUCCAGACAAUUGAAAGGGGCUGGUUGUCAGUGUCCUGGGUGUUGAAAUGAAAAAUAUUAUGCUGAUUUUUUAGAAGUGUUCCUUAUGCUUAUAGACCCAUAAUUUCACUACACUCUGUUAUCUAGGCUAAGUGUAGGGGUGAGGAAGUAGAGUCAAUCAAUACUGGUAUCAGGUUGGAAUUAGUGAAUGCUUUAACGCAGUACAUAUAAUUUCUGAUUUCCAUUUGUAAACUGA